RNAcentral lists this ribosomal RNA (253 nucleotides) under uncultured bacterium. RNAcentral describes it as "partial 16S ribosomal RNA". It matches the Rfam family "Bacterial small subunit ribosomal RNA", at positions 524 to 776 of the family's 1533-position model. The record is from RNAcentral.
UACGUAGGGCGCAAGCGUUAUCCGGAAUUAUUGGGCGUAAAGAGCCCGUAGGCGGUUUGUCGCGUCUGCCGUGAAAGUCCGGGGCUCAACUCCGGAUCUGCGGUGGGUACGGGCAGACUAGAGUGAUGUAGGGGAGACUGGAAUUCCUGGUGUAGCGGUGAAAUGCGCAGAUAUCAGGAGGAACACCGAUGGCGAAGGCAGGUCUCUGGGCAUUAACUGACGCUGAGGAGCGAAAGCAUGGGGAGCGAACAGG